RNAcentral lists this ribosomal RNA (1503 nucleotides) under metagenome. Its description in RNAcentral is "bacterial LSU rRNA". It matches the Rfam family "Bacterial large subunit ribosomal RNA", at positions 1135 to 2569 of the family's 2925-position model. The record is from RNAcentral.
UAAUAGCUCACUAGUCGAGAGGUCCUGCGCCGAAAAUGUCCGGGGCUGAAACACACUGCCGAAGCUCAGGGAUGAACAGUGAUCAAUACAGAUCAAUGCAAGAGGAAAGCUUCUUGAUGAAAUCAAGAAGAUUCCAAAACAGAUGAAACAGACUGCUGUUGGUCUGCGUUGAUCACUGUUCAUCGGUAGAGGAGCAUUCUUAAAGAGACGAAGCUGUACCGAAAGGAGCAGUGGAUUUUUAAGAAGAGAGAAUGCCGGAAUGAGUAGCGAGAAAGAGGUGAGAAUCCUCUUGGCCGAAUAUCUAAGGUUUCCAGGGUAAAGCUGAUCUGCCCUGGGUAAGUCGGGGCCUAAGGCGAGGUCGAAAGACGUAGUCGAUGGAUAACAGGUUGAAAUUCCUGUACUAUCCUGUAACAGAACUGUGGGGACGCAGACAGAGAGCACAAGCCGGGAAUGGAAAGACCGGUGCAAGCGAGGUAGGAGUACAUCAGGCAAAUCCGGUGUGCAAUCCGAAGACGUGAUGCGGAUCGAAAAGAAGUAGAGAAGUGUGUGAGCUGGCUGCCAAGAAAAGCCGCUAUUGUUUACAGGAUACCCGUACCGUAAACCGACACAGGUGGAUGAGGAGAGAAUCCUAAGGCCGACGGGAGAAGCAUUGUUAAGGAACUCGGCAAAAUGACUCCGUAACUUCGGGAGAAGGAGUGCCAUGCGAAUGGCCGCAGAGAAUUGGCCCAAGCAACUGUUUAGCAAAAACACAGGUCUAUGCGAAACCGAAAGGUGAGGUAUAUGGGCUGACGCCUGCCCGGUGCUGGAAGGUUAAGGGGAGAGGUUAGCGCAAGCGAAGCUUUGAACUUAAGCCCCAGUAAACGGCGGCCGUAACUAUAACGGUCCUAAGGUAGCGAAAUUCCUUGUCGGGUAAGUUCCGACCCGCACGAAAGGCGUAAUGAUUUGGGCACUGUCUCAACAAUGCACCCGGUGAAAUUGAAAUACCAGUGAAGAUGCUGGUUACCUGCGCCAGGACGGAAAGACCCCAUGGAGCUUUACUCCAGCUUGAUACUGGGAUUCGAUAUUGCAUGUACAGGAUAGGUGGGAGACUAGGAAGCGGUGACGCCAGUUGCCGCAGAGUCACUGUUGGGAUACCACCCUUGCAGUAUUGGAUUUCUAACCAGCAGCCGUGAACCGGCUGGGGGACAAUGUCAGGUGGGGAGUUUGACUGGGGCGGUCGCCUCCGAAAGGGUAUCGGAGGCGCUCAAAGGUUCCCUCAGAAUGGUUGGAAACCAUUCGAAGAGUGCAAAGGCAGAAGGGAGCUUGACUGCGACACCGACGGGUGGAGCAGGUACGAAAGUAGGACUUAGUGAUCCGGUGGUAUAAAGUGGGAUUGCCAUCGCUCAACGGAUAAAAGCUACCCUGGGGAUAACAGGCUUAUCACUCCCAAGAGUUCACAUCGACGGAGUGGUUUGGCACCUCGAUGUCGGCUCAUCGCAUCCUGGGGCUGAAGUAGGUCCCAAG